Molecule: ribosomal RNA, 478 nt
Filed under: uncultured bacterium
Lineage: Bacteria
Description: partial 16S ribosomal RNA
Rfam family: Bacterial small subunit ribosomal RNA
Source: RNAcentral
GAUGAACGCUGGCGGCGUGCUUAACACAUGCAAGUCGAACGGGAAACCUUUUAAUGCAGCUUCUGCAGAUUUGGCUGGUUUCUAGUGGCGGACGGGUGAGUAACGCGUGGGUAACCUGCCUUAUACAGGGGGAUAACAUUCAGAAAUGACUGCUAAUACCGCAUAAGCGCACAGGACCGCAUGUUCCGGUGUGAAAAACUCCGUUGGUAUAUGAUGGACCCGCGUUGGAUUAGCUUGUUGGGAGGGUAAGGGCGCCCCAAGGCGCAGAUCCAUAGCCGGCCAGAGAGAGUGGACGGCGACAGUGGGAGGGAGACACGGUGCAGAAUCCUACGGGAGGGAGCAGAGGGGGAUACUGCAAAAUGGGGGAAACGCUGAUGGAGCGACGCCGCGUGAAGGAAGAAGUAGCUCGGGAAGUAAAGUUCUAUAAGCAGGGAAGGUAGUGACGGUACCUGACGAAGAAGCCCCGGCUAACUACGUG